UACGUAGGGUGCGAGCGUUAAUCGGAAUUACUAAGCGUAAAGCGUGCGCAGGCGAUUGUGCAAGACCGAUGUGAAAUCCCCGAGCUUAACCUGGGAAUGGCAUUGGUGACUGCACGGCUAGAGUGUAUCAGAGGAGGGUAGAAUUCCACGUGUAGCAGUGAAAUGCGUAGAGAUGUGGAGGAAUACCGAUGGCGAAGGCAGCCCCCUGGGAUAACACUGACGCUCAUGCACGAAAGCGUGGGGAGCAAACAGG
RNAcentral lists this ribosomal RNA (253 nucleotides) under uncultured bacterium. Its description in RNAcentral is "partial 16S ribosomal RNA". It matches the Rfam family "Bacterial small subunit ribosomal RNA", at positions 524 to 776 of the family's 1533-position model. The record is from RNAcentral.